This 728-nucleotide long non-coding RNA is filed under the name Monodelphis domestica (gray short-tailed opossum). Its description in RNAcentral is "lncRNA (ENSMODG00000050438.1)". Lineage: Eukaryota; Metazoa; Chordata; Mammalia; Didelphimorphia; Didelphidae. The record is from RNAcentral.
CUGGAUUUGGAAUCAGGAUAUCUAGGUUGGAAUUCUGCUUCUGCAAUUUCCCAGCCUUCUGGAAUCUGAGCAAGUCACCUUAACCUCACCAGACCUCAAUUUCCUUGUCUGCAAAUUUAGGAGCCUGGAUGAGGUCCAGCCCCGCUUAGAAGGCCAAUCUUCCCUCUUUGUAAAGGGGUGAAUCGUUCAAACCUGGCCUCAGACACUUCCCAGCUGUGUUAUCCUGGGCAAGUCAUUUAACCCCCAUUGUCUAGCUCUUGCCACUCUUCCGCCUUGGAACCAAUAAGCAGUAUUAGUUCUAAGAUAGAAGGUACUAGUUUAAGAAAAACUUUCAAAGGAAUCAUGGAAUCGUUUUGAACACUUCUAAUGAUGGGGGACUCACUAUCUCCACUCCAAGCUUUGAGACCUGUCAGAAGGUCAGGGUUUUAAAGAAAAAGAAAAAGGGCACGGCACUGAAAUUCAAAACGUACAACAACAUAGACCCUGGGAAUCCUCCUCCUGAACCUGGAUCAAAAGAUGGAGAAACUGAGUCAUGCAUUGGUCUGCAUACAUGAGAUAGAAGAUAACAGAGGGAAGUAAGAAAACCACUGGAUUUGGAGUCCAAGGAACUGUAUUUGAAUGACUUCUACUACUUAAUGCCUGUGUGUCUAGGCAAGUUGGUUCUCUUCUCUGAGCUUCUUCUAUUUCCUCCUGUCCCUAAUAAUGGAGUACUAACAUUCCUCCCAGAA